Molecule: ribosomal RNA, 548 nt
Filed under: Pluralibacter gergoviae
Lineage: Bacteria; Pseudomonadati; Pseudomonadota; Gammaproteobacteria; Enterobacterales; Enterobacteriaceae
Description: bacterial LSU rRNA
Rfam family: Bacterial large subunit ribosomal RNA
Source: RNAcentral
GGGUUGUGAGGUUAAGCGACUAAGCGUACACGGUGGAUGCCCUGGCAGUCAGAGGCGAUGAAGGACGUGCUAAUCUGCGAAAAGCGCCGGCGAGGUGAUAUGAACCUUUGACCCGGCGAUGUCCGAAUGGGGAAACCCAGUGUGUUCCGUCACACUAUCGUUAACUGAAUACAUAGGUUAACGAGGCGAACCGGGGGAACUGAAACAUCUAAGUACCCCGAGGAAAAGAAAUCAACCGAGAUUCCCCCAGUAGCGGCGAGCGAACGGGGAGGAGCCCAGAGUCUGAAUCAGCGUGUGUGUUAGUGGAACGGUCUGGAAAGUCCGGCGAUACAGGGUGACAGCCCCGUACACGAAAGCACACAGGCUGUGAACUCGAAGAGUAGGGCGGGACACGUGGUAUCCUGUCUGAAUAUGGGGGGACCAUCCUCCAAGGCUAAAUACUCCUGACUGACCGAUAGUGAACCAGUACCGUGAGGGAAAGGCGAAAAGAACCCCGGCGAGGGGAGUGAAAAAGAACCUGAAACCGUGUACGUACAAGCAGUGGGAGC